AAUUUUUACUUGCAUUGAUGAAGAACAUAGCGAAAUGCGAUACUUGGUGUGAAUUGCAGAAUCCCGUGAACCAUUGAGUCUUUGAAUGCAAGUUGCACCCGAAGCUAUUAGGCCGAGGGCACGCAUGCCUGGGUGUCA
Molecule: ribosomal RNA, 138 nt
Filed under: Vigna angularis (adzuki bean)
Lineage: Eukaryota; Viridiplantae; Streptophyta; Magnoliopsida; Fabales; Fabaceae
Also listed under: 1 other name
Description: rRNA 5_8S_rRNA
Rfam family: 5.8S ribosomal RNA
About the family: 5.8S ribosomal RNA (5.8S rRNA) is a component of the large subunit of the eukaryotic ribosome. It is transcribed by RNA polymerase I as part of the 45S precursor that also contains 18S and 28S rRNA. Functionally, it is thought that 5.8S rRNA may be involved in ribosome translocation.
Source: Rfam by way of RNAcentral